UACAGAGGUCCCAAGCGUUGUUCGGAUUCACUGGGCGUAAAGGGUGCGUAGGUGGUGAGGUAAGUCGGAUGUGAAAGCUCGGAGCUCAACUCCGAAAUGGCAUUGGAAACUACCUUGCUCGAGGGUUGGAGGGGGGACUGGAAUUCUCGGUGUAGCAGUGAAAUGCGUAGAUAUCGAGAGGAACACCAGUGGCGAAGGCGAGUCCCUGGACAACUCCUGACACUGAGGCACGAAAGCUAGGGGAGCAAACAGU
This 253-nucleotide ribosomal RNA is filed under the name uncultured bacterium. Its description in RNAcentral is "partial 16S ribosomal RNA". It matches the Rfam family "Bacterial small subunit ribosomal RNA", at positions 524 to 776 of the family's 1533-position model. The record is from RNAcentral.